RNAcentral lists this ribosomal RNA (253 nucleotides) under uncultured bacterium. RNAcentral describes it as "partial 16S ribosomal RNA". It matches the Rfam family "Bacterial small subunit ribosomal RNA", at positions 524 to 776 of the family's 1533-position model. The record is from RNAcentral.
CACGUAGGGCGCAAGCGUUGUCCGGAAUUAUUGGGCGUAAAGAGCUCGUAGGCGGUCUGUUGCGUCCGCUGUGAAAACUCGGGGCUUAACCCCGGGCCUGCAUUCGAUACGGGCAGACUAGAGUUCGGUAGGGGAGUCUGGAAUUCCUGGUGUAGCGGUGAAAUGCGCAGAUAUCAGGAGGAACACCGGUGGCGAAGGCGGGACUCUGGGCCGAUACUGACGCUGAGGAGCGAAAGCGUGGGGAGCAAACAGG